CCUACGGGAGGCAGCAGUGAGGAAUAUUGGUCAAUGGACGAGAGUCUGAACCAGCCAAGUAGCGUGAAGGAUGACUGCUCUAUGGGUUGUAAACUUCUUUUAUAUGGGAAUAAAAUGUUCCACGUGUGGGAUUUUGUAUGUACCAUAUGAAUAAGGAUCGGCUAACUCCGUGCCAGCAGCCGUGGUAAUACGGAGGAGCCGAGCGUUAUCCGGAUUUAUUGGGUUUAAAGGGAGCGUAGGUGGAUUGUUAAGUCAGUUGUGAAAGUUUGCGGCUCAACCGUAAAAUUGCAGUUGAAACUGGCAGUCUGGAGUACAGUAGAGGUGGGCGGAAUUCGUGGUGUAGCGGUGAAAUGCUUAGAUAUCGCGAAGAACUCCGAUUGCGAAGGCAGUUCACUGGACUGCAACUGACACUGAGGCUCGAGAGUGUGGGUAUCAAACAGGAUUAGAUACCCUAGUAGUC
This 460-nucleotide ribosomal RNA is filed under the name uncultured bacterium. Its description in RNAcentral is "partial 16S ribosomal RNA". It matches the Rfam family "Bacterial small subunit ribosomal RNA", at positions 338 to 795 of the family's 1533-position model. The record is from RNAcentral.